CUGGCCGAGCGCCGAGCGCGGCGGACCCGUGCGCGGACCUGGACGCACACCCGCAUCGCGCCUCGCCGGGCCCAAGUCCUCCCCUCCCCUCCUCCAUCCUCCCGGUACCCGCAGACCUGGGAGCGUCGGUCUGAAGAAGAAGUGCCCAAGAGAUUUUUGUCGUGUGAUUUCACAAAAGAGACUGAGAUGUCAGGCUCCUCACCGUUUAAGAUGCGCCUUGUUCAUUUGGACCUUAAAGGAGCCCCGCCAAAGGUCUCAUACCUCGCGGAGGUGUUUCCUCUAUUCCAUGCCCUGGGCGCAAACGGCCUCCUCAUUGAGUAUGAAGACAUGUUCCCCUACGAGGGCCACCUGAGGCUGCUGAGGGCCCAGCACGCAUACAGCCCCUCUGAAAUCAAAGAGAUCCUGCAUCUGGCCACAGUGAACGAGCUAGAGGUUGUUCCCUUGGUACAGACAUUCGGACACAUGGAGUUUGUGCUGAAGCACGAGGCUCUUGCUCACCUCCGAGAAGUGGCAUUUUUCCCCAACACCCUGAACCCCCAUGAGGCGGAGUCCCUGGCCCUCGUCGGAGCCAUGAUAGACCAGGUCAUGGAGCUGCAUCCGGGUGCCCGGUGGCUCCAUGUGGGAUGUGACGAGGUGUAUUACCUUGGAGAGGGCGAGGCCUCGCGGCAGUGGCUGCAGCAGGAGCAGAACACCAAAGCCAGACUGUGCCUGUCCCAUGUGAAGGCGGUGGCCAGCCAUGUGCUGGCCCGACACCCCACCACGAAGCCCCUGGUGUGGGACGACAUGCUGCGGGACAUCCCCGAGGACCAGCUCUCAGCGUCAGGGGUGCCACAGCUGGUGGAGCCCAUGCUCUGGGACUACACGGCCGACCUGGAUGUCCACAGCAAGGCCCUCCUCAUGGAAAAGUAUCGGAAGUGUGGUUUUCGGCAGCUCUGGGCUGCCAGUGCCUUCAAAGGGGCCACGGGGGUGAGCCAGGCCCUGACACCUAUCGAGCACCAUCUCAGGAACCACAGGCAGUGGCUGCAGGUGGCUGCCCACGGGCCAGCAGACACGCUGCAGGGCAUUGUCCUGACCGGCUGGCAGAGGUACGACCACUUCUCCGUGCUGUGCGAGCUGCUGCCCGUGGGGAUCCCGUCCCUGGCCGUCUGUCUGCAGUCGCUCCUACAGGGAGGCUUUUCCGAAGAUGUUAAAGCAAGAGUGGAGAACUUCCUUGGAAUUCCGAGCCUGGAAAUCACCGGUUUCCCCAGUGAGGGGGCUGCCUCCUUCCCUGGCAGCGACAUCCUGGCCCUCGUCACGCAAGUUGGCCUCCACCUACGCAGCUCCGUGGACGAGAUGCUCCACAGGAACAGGUACGUGACCGGCUGGUUCAGCUCCUACCAUCGCAGGCGGAAGCUCGUCCACCCAGUCAUGAUCCAGCACAUCCAGCCCCAGGCCCUCAGAUGAAGGAAACGGACCCUACCUGGAACAGGAGAGCCUCCACCGCACAGCCAUGGCCUACUUCAGUGGUCUCCAAAGUGGGAUGAGCAAGAUCUGUGAGAUACUGGAAGAAGAUACUAGAGCUUGCGUUCCUAUUUAUUUUUCUUUCAAUAUCUAUUUUUACAUGUUUUGUAAUUUACAUAGUUUAAUACAAUAGUGUAUAAUAUUGCCUCAUAAAAAAUAUACAUACAUCAGUAUGUAUAAUCCUAGCAGUUUUACCAAUAUACGGACACGAUAAAAAUUUUGGAGACAACUUUUCUCCUUUACCAGUCGACUUCGGAUACUCUCUGCCUGUGGUUCCUAACCCUAAACGUGCCUCAGAAUCACCUGGUGGGCUUGUUGAAAUACAGACUGCUGGGCCCUAUUCCCAGAAGUGGGUGGGACCUGUAAACUUAGAUGUUGCUGAUACUUCUGGUCCAGGAAUCACACCUUGAGAACCUCUGCUGUAAGCUGCAGCAAUACUGGGCUCUGCCUGAACACGUGUGAUGUUAAGCUUUGUCAAUAGAGGGUGAUGGAUAGACACUGCAGGAAGAAGACCUUUUCUUCUUGGUUCUUGGAGAAAAGACUGAUUUCGGAUCUGAAGCAAAAAAUGAACAAGGAAAUGUAUCAAAAAGCAGAGAGACUAUUAGUGUCUUAUUAGAAGAACUUCAGAGCCUAACUGAAGAGAUUCUCAUUGCUGAAAAAAGAUAAGUAUUUGAGCAACAAUAAGCAUAAUUAGAAUGAAUUGAAAAUACUCAUGUAUUUAAGUACAUCAUUCAUCAUAAUGGAAUUUUUUUGUUCACUUUUGAAAGAUGAUGAGAAACAAACUUGGUCUUUUUGACCAGUUAAUGAAGGAAAAGAAUCAAGCAUUUAUCCUGCCUUUCUUUAUAAACUUUACAACGGAGAAACCAAACAGUGGAGAAGAAUUUCUCAUUAUAGAAGUAUUCCCUCUAAUAAAUGAAGAACAAAUGGUAGGAUUUAAAUAUCACCCUAAUGGAUGGAUGGGUGGGUGGAUUAAUCGAGCUAGGCAAUUUCAUCAAUGGCUGGUAAUUAACAUCACAAAAAGUAGAAACUCCUCAUGGAAUUACACAACUGGCAUCUAUGAAGUAGUCUUGCCAAAAAAAAAAAAAAAAAAUUUAACCUAGGAUCAAGCCACUAGAACGUUCCAAUUACCCUUUACUGUAAAUUCAGAGGGCAAAGGUAUACUAAAGGACUCCAGGAGGAUGCAGUCAGUAAUUGCAAGAAACCCUAGGUGAACAAUCUGAUUUCUUGAAUGGAACCUACACAUGUAAAACAAAACAAAGAUACAGACUUAAGACACAGAUUUCUCUGUACUAUCUGCACCUUCUAAGUGAUCCUCAAGUUAUUUCAGAACAAAACGACUUUUUUUUUAAAAAAAGAGAGACUUAAGAAAUACAAAAACAAAUUGUAAUAUAGACUAUUAGAACAUAUUGGACCUUGUUUAGAUCCCAAUUUAAACUAAAAAAAAGAAUUUGAUUGGGGAAACCUGGACACUAUAUUUUUGAUUAAAUUAAGUAAGUGUAAUUUGCUUUUUUC
Molecule: RNA transcript, 3012 nt
Organism: Rhinolophus ferrumequinum (greater horseshoe bat)
Lineage: Eukaryota; Metazoa; Chordata; Mammalia; Chiroptera; Rhinolophidae
Gene: HEXD
Gene name: hexosaminidase D
Exons: 14
Source: RefSeq, a predicted model, not a curated record